This 574-nucleotide long non-coding RNA is filed under the name Capsicum annuum. RNAcentral describes it as "long non-coding RNA (CANN_LNC002187)". Lineage: Eukaryota; Viridiplantae; Streptophyta; Magnoliopsida; Solanales; Solanaceae. The record is from RNAcentral.
UUAAUAUCUCUUUGUAGAUGUUUUGUUGUAUGUGCCUUUCUUCCGUUUUGGUUGCUCUGUCAUAAUCAAAAUCUUAGUUUUUGAUAUUGAUACUCCCCUUGAUGGUGCAAAGUACAAUUUUUCAUGUGAAAAAAUAUGUUGUGGCAAGUACAAUUCAACAGUUGAUAUUUUUGUUCUUGUAUUUUGUUUGUCAUCAUUGAAAAACACAGUCGGACUAAAAAUUAUUUUCUAAUGAAUUUGAAUGAAUAACCUUCAUUUUCGAGAGGUGAUAGCUGAAUCCAUGAAAUAAAUACAUGCUUAAAAGCAUUUUGGCCCAUCAUUAUUUCUGCAUGUAUGACGUUGUUGUCAAGAUCUCGGCAUUUGACAUUACAACAUUUGUUUAUGUCAUCAAUAACCUAGUCAUACUCUUUCUUUCUCUAUAAAAGAAGAGUAUUUAGCUCAUUUGUAGAUACAUACCAAUACAACGAGUAAAAACAAUAUAGAGAUAACAGUGUGGUAUUUUAUAGAUUGUGAUAAAAAAUAAUAUGUGAAGAAAAAUUAGAUAAAGCAAUAUUUUAAUAAGAUGAAAAUCAAG